AACGCGAAGAACCUUACCUGCCCUUGACAUCUGUGGAAUCCUGUAGAGAUAUGGGAGUGCCGCAAGGAACCACAAGACAGGUGCUGCAUGGCUGUCGUCAGCUCGUGUUGUGAGAUGUUGGGUUAAGUCCCGUAACGAGCGCAACCCCUGUUCACAGUUGCCAGCGCGUAAUGGCGGGGACUCUGUGGAGACUGCCGGUGAUGAACCGGAGGAAGGCGGGGACGACGUCAAGUCAUCAUGGCCUUUAUGGGCAGGGCUACACACGUGCUACAAUGGGGGCGUACAGAGGGAAGCCAACCCGCGAGGGGGAGCCGAUCCCACAAAGCGCCUCUUAGUCCGGACUGGAGUCUGCAACUCGACUCCACGAAGUCGGAAUCGCUAGUAAUCGCGAAUCAGAAUGUCGCGGUGAAUACGUUCCCGGGCCUUGUACACACCGGAGUA
This 441-nucleotide ribosomal RNA is filed under the name uncultured bacterium. RNAcentral's name for it is "bacterial SSU rRNA". It matches the Rfam family "Bacterial small subunit ribosomal RNA", at positions 958 to 1398 of the family's 1533-position model. The record is from RNAcentral.